RNAcentral lists this ribosomal RNA (474 nucleotides) under uncultured bacterium. RNAcentral's name for it is "bacterial SSU rRNA". It matches the Rfam family "Bacterial small subunit ribosomal RNA", at positions 328 to 793 of the family's 1533-position model. The record is from RNAcentral.
CGCUAUCACUCCUACGGGGAGGCAGCAGUAGGGAAUCUUCCACAAUGGGCGCAAGCCUGAUGGAGCAACACCGCGUGAGUGAAGAAGGGUUUCGGCUCGUAAAGCUCUGUUGUUAAAGAAGAACACGUAUGAGGGUAACUGUUCAUACGUUGACGGUAUUUAACCAGAAAGUCACGGCUAACUACGUGCCAGCAGCCGCGGUAAUACGUAGGUGGCAAGCGUUAUCCGGAUUUAUUGGGCGUAAAGAGAGUGCAGGCGGUUUUCUAAGUCUGAUGUGAAAGCCUUCGGCUUAACCGGAGAAGUGCAUCGGAAACUGGAUAACUUGAGCGCAGAAGAGGGUAGUGGAACUCCAUGUGUAGCGGUGGAAUGCGUAGAUAUAUGGAAGAACACCAGUGGCGAAGGCGGCUACCUGGUCUGCAACUGACGCUGAGACUCGAAAGCAUGGGUAGCGAACAGGAUUAGAUACCCUGGUAG